UACGGAGGGUGCAAGCGUUAUCCGGAUUCACUGGGUUUAAAGGGUGCGUAGGUGGGUUGGUAAGUCAGUGGUGAAAUCUCCGAGCUUAACUUGGAACUGCCGUUGAUACUAUCAAUCUUGAAUAUCGCGUAGGUAAGCGGAAUAUGUCAUGUAGCAGUGAAAUGCUUAGAUAUGACAUAGAACACCAAUUGCGAAGGCAGCUUACUUCACGAUCAUUGACACUGAGGCACGAAAGCGUGGGGAGCAAACAGG
RNAcentral lists this ribosomal RNA (252 nucleotides) under uncultured bacterium. RNAcentral describes it as "partial 16S ribosomal RNA". It matches the Rfam family "Bacterial small subunit ribosomal RNA", at positions 524 to 776 of the family's 1533-position model. The record is from RNAcentral.